This 87-nucleotide transfer RNA is filed under the name Clostridiales bacterium. Its description in RNAcentral is "tRNA-Leu". It matches the Rfam family "tRNA". From Rfam's summary of the family: Transfer RNA (tRNA) molecules are approximately 80 nucleotides in length. Their secondary structure includes four short double-helical elements and three loops (D, anti-codon, and T loops). RNAcentral also lists the same sequence under 1 other name. Lineage: Bacteria; Bacillati; Bacillota; Clostridia; Eubacteriales. The record is from RNAcentral.
GCCGAAGUGGUGAAAUUGGCAGACGCACUGGACUCAAAAUCCAGCGGUAGCGAUACCAUGUCGGUUCGAGUCCGACCUUCGGCACCA